Molecule: non-coding RNA, 102 nt
Filed under: Gimesia maris
Lineage: Bacteria; Pseudomonadati; Planctomycetota; Planctomycetia; Planctomycetales; Planctomycetaceae
Description: SAM-I sequence
Rfam family: SAM riboswitch aptamer (S box leader)
About the family: The SAM riboswitch is found upstream of a number of genes which code for proteins involved in methionine or cysteine biosynthesis in Gram-positive bacteria. The SAM riboswitch acts at the level of transcription termination control.
Source: RNAcentral
UGAGCAUCACGAGCGGUGUUGAGGGAACAGGCCCUUUGAAACGCCCGGCAACCUGGUUCAGCCACCAAGGUGCCACUGCCUUCCGAAAGGAAACGAUGCGGC